Vespa mandarinia (Asian giant hornet) is the source of this 4644-nucleotide unclassified non-coding RNA. The record is from RefSeq and is a predicted model, not a curated record. Lineage: Eukaryota; Metazoa; Arthropoda; Insecta; Hymenoptera; Vespidae.
GAGGAGGAGGAGGAAGAGGAGGUGGAGGAAGAGGAGGUGGAGGAGAAAGAAGAGGUGAUUUCUACGUUCGAACGAGGAAGAUCGUGCUUCGUGCAUCUCCGCUGCGGAUCUCACGAUGACGGAUGGCUGUACGACGUGCGUUCUUCCCUCCUUUGAAACACGACUGACCAGCGACGGGGACGAACGGAACCACUUCUCUGUACCUUGAUACGAUCUCGUGGGCGUGCGGGGGUGACUGGAGUGAUGGGAUGGGGCCAGAGCCCCAUGGAGUUCGGGUAGACCCGUCUCCGGCCCAGCUCCCCAGCCCCCUCCGCCAUAAAUAUCGCCACUGCUCCUGCCAACGACGCAGAGGGCCACCACGAUCGCGAUGGAGGCCUCUAGUAAUCAACAACAACAACAAAAAGAGAAGGAGUCACGUGUUCACAGGCCUUAUGCCUUCGAUAAGAUGGAGGGGCUGGUGCGGGAGAUGCAAGACUCUCAAAACGGGGUACCCGUGCGCAGCCAAAAACAAUUUCUCACCUCGAUCCCCUCAGCGUUCAUGGGUGAGUGCCAUCGAUACCUGCGUUGUGGCAUAAACGUAAGCGGCCAUCACGGCCAGGAGAGUACAGUAGACUGCCUGCGUGUUGCAGGUUACGACCUCGUCGAGUGGCUUAUGGAUCGGCUUUCCAUCGAGGAAUCAGUAGAGGCGCUCCAUAUUGCUAAUCAACUAUGCCUGUACGGCUACUUCUUCCCGGUGAACGACUCCAAGAUGCUUACUGUAAAGGAUGAUAGCUCGCUAUAUAGAUUUCAGUCACCGUAUUAUUGGCCGUGGCAACAUAGAACCCCUGACAACGUGGAAUACGCUAUUUAUCUUGCUAAACGAACAUUACGGAACAAACAACGCCAUGCUCUUGAAGAUUACGAGAUCGAAGCUUUAAACAGUCUACGGAAGAACCUGCAAAAUAAAUGGGAUAUCAUACAACUACAGGCUGAAGAACAGGCUCAGGUACGAUUAGCUAAAGACCGGAAGAAGGGGGAUAAGAUAGUAAGCGAUUCACAGGAAAGAGCAUUUUGGAGAGUUUACCGGCCACCGCCGGGUUGUCUUAGUAGUCUUGAAGUAGUUCCAGGACCAACACGUUUUCGUCCAGGAUUUCCACGGCCUCCACCACGUAAACGCACCGUCGCUGAGUUACAACGAGAGGUGGACUUUCUUCGAAGCAGUUUAACACGCACGAGAAUAAAGGUUUCAGCUGCUAUAGAAAAUUUGAAGUCGUACUUUGAAACUUAUGUGGAAUACGACCCAAUGUUCGUACAUCCGCAACCUUCCAAUCCUUGGAUCACCGAUGACAGUACAUUCUGGCAGUUGAAUAAUCCACUAGUGGAAAUUCCUACGGAAAAACGUGUAAAACGAUGGGCAUUAUCGAUGGAAGAACUCAUGUCUGAUCCAACAGGCUUGCUAGAAUUCACGAAUUACCUGAGAAAAGAAUACAGUCAUGAGAAUAUUCGAUUUUGGGUGGCCGUUAAAGAUUUGAGACACAGUUAUCAAGCUCAAAUAACGGAAAAGGUCAACGAAAUUUUCAAAGAAUUCCUGGCGCCGGGUGCUCCUUGCGAGAUCAACAUCGAUGGAAAGACAAUGGAAAAGGUCCAUCAAGAAAUGAAAAAUCCCAGCAGAUUUACCUUCGAUUCAGCUGCCGAGCACGUAUAUACUCUACUUUUGAAGAAGGAUUGCUACCCCAGAUUUAUUCGCUCGGAUCAAUAUCGAAAUCUUUUAGCAGCCGGCAUACAGCCACUGCAAAAGAAAAGAUUUUUCAGCUUCGGUGGUCAAGCAAAAAAGAAAAUGGCGUCUAGCGUGAGUACAACGACGAGCACGUUGCAACAACAACAACAGCACGGUGGCAAUAUUGGAACCAGUGGAGGUGGUGGUGGUACUGGUGGUGGUGGUACUAGAAGAAGAGGAAGCGAUCGAAGCAUCUCGGGAUCAGCUCACGAGCUUGCCGUUUGUGGAGUACGUGAAAUAAGUUCUACGCCAAGAGUGUCGCAUUCUCAUAGCCAAUCAAAUCUCACCGAUAUUCCAUACAGGGAUGCUGGCGCCACGGAGGCGACAGUUCGCCCUAUGGACGACGUUUGCCCUUGGGACGCGAUCCCAGGGCCAAGUACAGAUGCCGGCCAGGAUGCAGCACCGUUUGGAACGAGCCCGUGGCCUGACACGUCUACGGAUCCCUGGGAAUACGGGAACGACGUAACCAAAACGUCGAUACAUUUCAUCGACGUGGCUCGUCCAUCUCGAAAGAAUUCCUCUCAGCUCGACUCCUGCAGUUCCUCUUCCGAUGUCAGUCUGGCUAUUGCGGAGGUCUCCGACAGGUUGAGAAAGUCCUGCAGCCUUCAGCACAGUUCUGUCCCGACUGCUAUGAUGGAACGGCAUGGUAUUGGUUCUGGAUCGGGCGGACAUACCAUCACCAGAAAUUAUUCCACUGGCUCGACCAGCAACAGAGUUAAACUCUCGGAUAUAGGUCGCCCAUUGGUCACCUCGUGCAACUUACCGUCGCCUCUAGAAUCAUUCGAAUAUAGUCACGCAGCUGGCGAGAAGUUCGAGGCGAUAAUUUGUCAAACAACGAUCGAAGAACCAGAAACAUCAACGACGUUAGAUACAACGCAACAAAUGGAUAAAGUUGUUACAAUAGAAGAAACGAAAAAAACUCUGAGAAGGUCAUCAGCGAAAGCACCAUUGAUAAGUAUCAGUGCGAUCGUCGGCGACUUGCCAAGUGAUUUUGAGGUGGUUGGAACAACAACUGGCGACGACAUUUGUCCGCCAACAAGAGAAACUAAAAUGGAAAUUGAACUGUUCGAAGAUAAAAACGUAGAAGAAACAGAACCAGAAAGGGUACAGGAAAAAGAAAAGGAAGAAAAAGAUGAGAUAAAAGAAGAAGAAGAAGAAGAAGAAGCAAAAGGAAAAGAAGAAGAAGAAAGAGAAGAAGAUGAAGAAAGAGGAGGAGAAGAAGAGCCGUUGGAAAAGGAAGAUGACAAAAUAACGAAGGAAGCUUGUAUCGAAACACAAAAGAAUGAAUCUACUGAAGAGGCUCAGGUUGUCCCUGUUUGGGAGCCGGACACCCAACAGGAAGACCAAAUGGCACCAACGGCCAUUGCAACCACCAGUACCGUGCCCACUCGGGAUAAGCGUGACAAUAAUGUUAACGAAGUGUGCCCGUGGGAGGAUGAGUAUAAUUUCUCGUAGAGGCGUAGAAUCGAAGACUCCGAAAUGGAAGAUGAGACGCGUUAUAGUUGAAGGGAGAACUGUAGAGUGGAUACGACCUAUGUAAAAACGUAUGCGACAUUAGGUUAUUUAUAACUUGGUGUUAACGCUCUAUGAUAUUGCAUUUUACACUUAAAACACCCAUUCGUAAAUUUCGAUUACCAUUAUUCUCAAACUAAUCCGAUGAUCUCGAGUGCAUGAGCUAUCGUGGGUUUUACGAUUUAACUGUGUCAUUUUUAAAAUCGUAUUGGUGUUGUUGAUUGAAAGUGAACAGAGAAAAAGUUUAAGAUCGAUUAAUAAUCGAUGAGUGCACCGUCGAUAAUGAAGAUUCGUGAUCUUCUUAAUAUGUAUACAAGAAUAUAAAAUUAUGCUCGAUCUACGAAUAUAUAAAUACGACUGAUAUGAACGAUCAUUAAGAAAUAUUUCUUUUCCUUUAUGGAUUUAAAGAUAUAAAAUACAAAAUGAUCUAUGGCCUAAAAAAAAUUUUCUUUAUCUAUACCAACAUUUGUCGACUGAGCCAUUACGGCCAUUUAUUAUCGCCAUUUUUUUUUCUUUUCUUUCUUAAUAUAAGAUGAGAUGUGUUAAUUAAUUUUCAUUUUUUUUGCUUUCUACUUAAUGUUAUUAAAACUAUUUAAUAUUAACGAAAACGCGUUGUUAUACAUAAAGCGUAUUAAAGUACAUAUCUAGAUUAUAAUAAAUAUGUGGUAGUGGUGCGUAGUACAACCAUAUUUCUGUGUCGAAUAAAAAAAAAAAAAAAGAAAAGAAAAGAAAAAAUAUUAAUCGAAGAUAUUUACUACGAUAUCGUUCGUUAAGCGUUUAAAGUAAAAUAAUAGAUGAUAUUUGAAAGAAAAAAAAAAUAAAAUUCCAUAUCGAAACUUAUUCGAUAUUUAAUAUACCGAACAAAUUUGAUUUUAAUUUUUGUCCAUCAUAAACAUGACCUUUGGAUGCCAGUCAAUAAUGAGCCCCUUGACUGCACGCAAAGAUCAUGAAUUUUGUCAUUAAUUUAUUAUUAAUUUAUAUAGAUAAAUUAUAUAAUUUCAAAACUUUCCAAAUAGCGAUGCUAAAAAUAAAUCUUAAUCUUUUUUACAUUAAAUAUUAUUUCGUUCGAUCAAUUUGAUCCAACAUAAUUAUAUAUGAUCAUUUCCUAUCCGAUUUUCUAAUUUGUCGUUGAAAUAAAAAAAAAAAAACAAAAGAAAGAAAAAAAGAUCAAACAAAAAGCUAACGACGUCAACGUAAACGUAUCUCUUAUAAUUCGUGUUAGAAAUAUUAACAAAUGUUGCGCUGUUAAAGUCCUUCGAUAUUAUUAUAUAACUAAUAAUCGUUUGUCCGCUGCUUAAGCGUCUAAUUAAAUAUUAUCGAUACGUUAGUCCACUACUUGUUAGUUAUAAAUAUACGAUUAAAAAAAAAAAAAAAAA